UUAAGCGACUAAGCGUACACGGUGGAUGCCCUGGCAGUCAGAGGCGAUGAAGGACGUGCUAAUCUGCGAUAAGCGUCGGUAAGGUGAUAUGAACCGUUAUAACCGGCGAUUUCCGAAUGGGGAAACCCAGUGUGAUUCGUCACACUAUCAUUAACUGAAUCCAUAGGUUAAUGAGGCGAACCGGGGGAACUGAAACAUCUAAGUACCCCGAGGAAAAGAAAUCAACCGAGAUUCCCCCAGUAGCGGCGAGCGAACGGGGAGGAGCCCAGAGCCUGAAUCAGUGUGUGUGUUAGUGGAAGCGUCUGGAAAGGCGCGCGAUACAGGGUGACAGCCCCGUACACAAAAAUGCACAUGCUGUGAGCUCGAUGAGUAGGG
RNAcentral lists this ribosomal RNA (375 nucleotides) under Escherichia coli EC1870. RNAcentral's name for it is "bacterial LSU rRNA". It matches the Rfam family "Bacterial large subunit ribosomal RNA", at positions 1 to 417 of the family's 2925-position model. Lineage: Bacteria; Pseudomonadati; Pseudomonadota; Gammaproteobacteria; Enterobacterales; Enterobacteriaceae. The record is from RNAcentral.